GACGAACGCUGGCGGCGUGCUUAACACAUGCAAGUCGAACGGAAAGGCCCUGCUUUUGUGGGGUGCUCGAGUGGCGAACGGGUGAGUAACACGUGAGUAACCUGCCCUUGACUUUGGGAUAACUUCAGGAAACUGGGGCUAAUACCGGAUAGGAGCUCCUGCUGCAUGGUGGGGGUUGGAAAGUUUCGGCGGUUGGGGAUGGACUCGCGGCUUAUCAGCUUGUUGGUGGGGUAGUGGCUUACCAAGGCUUUGACGGGUAGCCGGCCUGAGAGGGUGACCGGCGACAUUGGGACUGAGAUACGGCCCAGACUCCUACGGGAGGCAGCAGUGGGGAAUAUUGCACAAUGGGCGGAAGCCUGAUGCAGCAACGCCGCGUGCGGGAUGACGGCCUUCGGGUUGUAAACCGCGUUCGCCUGUGACGAAGCGUGAGUGACGGUAAUGGGUAAAGAAGCACCGGCUAACUACGUG
This 468-nucleotide ribosomal RNA is filed under the name uncultured bacterium. RNAcentral describes it as "partial 16S ribosomal RNA". It matches the Rfam family "Bacterial small subunit ribosomal RNA", at positions 28 to 507 of the family's 1533-position model. The record is from RNAcentral.